GACCGCGUAGCUCAGUUGACAGAGCAUUGGACUAGUAUUCCAAACUGGUCUCGAGUUCGAUUCUCACCAUGGUCA
Paramuricea clavata is the source of this 75-nucleotide non-coding RNA. Lineage: Eukaryota; Metazoa; Cnidaria; Anthozoa; Malacalcyonacea; Plexauridae. The record is from the annotation of a GenBank genome assembly.